GUGAAGCCCAGCUUGCUGGGUGGAUCAGUGGCGAACGGGUGAGUAACACGUGAGCAACCUGCCCUCCACUUCGGGAUAAGCCUUGGAAACGGGGACUAAUACCGGAUAUGAGCUCGCAUCGCAUGGUGUGGGUUGGAAAGUUUUUCGGUGGGGGAUGGGCUCGCGGCCUAUCAGCUUGUUGGUGGGGUGAUGGCCUACCAAGGCGUCGACGGGUAGCCGGCCUGAGAGGGCGACCGGCCACACUGGGACUGAGACACGGCCCAGACUCCUACGGGAGGCAGCAGUGGGGAAUAUUGCACAAUGGGCGCAAGCCUGAUGCGGCGACGCCGCGUGAGGGAUGACGGCCUUCGGGUUGUAAACCUCUUUCAGCAGGGAAGAAGCGCAAGUGACGGUACCUGCAGAAGAAGCGCCGGCUAACUACGUGCCAGCAGCCGCGGUAAUACGUAGGGCGCAAGCGUUGUCCGGAAUUAUUGGGCGUAAAGAGCUCGUAGGCGGUCUGUCGCGUCUGGUGUGAAAUCCCGAGGCUCAACCUCGGGCUUGCAUCGGGUACGGGCAGACUAGAGUGCGGUAGGGGAGACUGGAAUUCCUGGUGUAGCGGUGGAAUGCGCAGAUAUCAGGAGGAACACCGAUGGCGAAGGCAGGUCUCUGGGCCGCAACUGACGCUGAGGAGCGAAAGCAUGGGGAGCGAACAGGAUUAGAUACCCUGGUAGUCCAUGCCGUAAACGUUGGGCACUAGGUGUGGGGCUCAUUCCACGAGUUCCGUGCCGCAGCUAACGCAUUAAGUGCCCCGCCUGGGGAGUACGGCCGCAAGGCUAAAACUCAAAGGAAUUGACGGGGGCCCGCACAAGCGGCGGAGCAUGCGGAUUAAUUCGAUGCAACGCGAAGAACCUUACCAAGGCUUGACAUGUACGAGAAAGCCCCCGAGACGGGGUUCUCUUUGGACACUCGUACACAGGUGGUGCAUGGUUGUCGUCAGCUCGUGUCGUGAGAUGUUGGGUUAAGUCCCGCAACGAGCGCAACCCUCGUCCUAUGUUGCCAGCGGGUUAUGCCGGGGACUCAUGGGAGACUGCCGGGGUCAACUCGGAGGAAGGUGGGGAUGACGUCAAAUCAUCAUGCCCCUUAUGUCUUGGGCUUCACGCAUGCUACAAUGGCCGGUACAGAGGGCUGCGAUACCGUAAGGUGGAGCGAAUCCCAAAAAGCCGGUCUCAGUUCGGAUUGGGGUCUGCAACUCGACCCCA
This 1238-nucleotide ribosomal RNA is filed under the name uncultured bacterium. Its description in RNAcentral is "bacterial SSU rRNA". It matches the Rfam family "Bacterial small subunit ribosomal RNA", at positions 68 to 1320 of the family's 1533-position model. The record is from RNAcentral.